Molecule: ribosomal RNA, 381 nt
Filed under: uncultured marine Chaetocerotaceae
Lineage: Eukaryota; Bacillariophyta; Thalassiosirophyceae; Chaetocerotales; Chaetocerotaceae
Description: SSU rRNA
Rfam family: Eukaryotic small subunit ribosomal RNA
Source: RNAcentral
AGCUCCAAUAGCGUAUAUUAAAGUUGCUGCAGUUAAAAAGCUCGUAGUUGCAUUUCCGAGGCAAGGGAUUAGUCCGACCUUUGGUGGGUAUUUAAUCCUCUUGCCUCGUCCUUGAGUGGUGCUUCUUGGUAUUAAGUUAUCGAGGAGCUAGCCGCUCAUCGUUUACUGUGAGAAAAUUAGAGUGUUCAAAGCAGGCUUAUGCCGUUGAAUAUAUUAGCAUGGAAUAAUAAGAUAGGACCUCGGUACUAUUUUGUGGGUUUGAGAACCAAGGUAAUGAUGAAUAGGGACAGUUGGGGGUAUUCGUAUUCAGUUGUCAGAGGUGAAAUUCUUAGAUUUACGGAAGACGAACUACUGCGAAAGCAUUUACCAAGGAUGUUUUCA